UACAGAGGUCUCAAGCGUUGUUCGGAUUCAUUGGGCGUAAAGGGUGCGUAGGCGGCGCGGUAAGUCGGGUGUGAAAUCUCGGAGCUUAACUCCGAAACUGCAUUCGAUACUGCCGUGCUUGAGGACUGGAGAGGAGACUGGAAUUUACGGUGUAGCGGUGAAAUGCGUAGAUAUCGGGAGGAACACCUGUGGCGAAAGCGGCGCACUGGACCAUAACUGACGCUGAUGCGCGAAAGCUAGGGGAGCAAACAGG
RNAcentral lists this ribosomal RNA (253 nucleotides) under uncultured bacterium. RNAcentral describes it as "partial 16S ribosomal RNA". It matches the Rfam family "Bacterial small subunit ribosomal RNA", at positions 524 to 776 of the family's 1533-position model. The record is from RNAcentral.